This 75-nucleotide small RNA is filed under the name Xanthomonas campestris. Its description in RNAcentral is "sX9". It matches the Rfam family "Xanthomonas sRNA sX9". Lineage: Bacteria; Pseudomonadati; Pseudomonadota; Gammaproteobacteria; Lysobacterales; Lysobacteraceae. The record is from RNAcentral. RNAcentral also lists the same sequence under 1 other name.
AUGUGCCCCCGUACACUCCAGUUACUCCGCGCCGCCCGCAGCCACCUGACGACUGCUCGCGACGUGUUGUUAGCA